RNAcentral lists this ribosomal RNA (521 nucleotides) under Micromonospora soli. Its description in RNAcentral is "bacterial SSU rRNA". It matches the Rfam family "Bacterial small subunit ribosomal RNA", at positions 380 to 911 of the family's 1533-position model. Lineage: Bacteria; Bacillati; Actinomycetota; Actinomycetes; Micromonosporales; Micromonosporaceae. The record is from RNAcentral.
AGCCUGAUGCAGCGACGCCGCGUGAGGGAUGACGGCCUUCGGGUUGUAAACCUCUUUCAGCAGGGACGAAGCGUAAGUGACGGUACCUGCAGAAGAAGCGCCGGCCAACUACGUGCCAGCAGCCGCGGUAAGACGUAGGGCGCGAGCGUUGUCCGGAUUUAUUGGGCGUAAAGAGCUCGUAGGCGGCUUGUCGCGUCGACUGUGAAAACCCGCAGCUCAACUGCGGGCCUGCAGUCGAUACGGGCAGGCUAGAGUUCGGUAGGGGAGACUGGAAUUCCUGGUGUAGCGGUGAAAUGCGCAGAUAUCAGGAGGAACACCGGUGGCGAAGGCGGGUCUCUGGGCCGAUACUGACGCUGAGGAGCGAAAGCGUGGGGAGCGAACAGGAUUAGAUACCCUGGUAGUCCACGCUGUAAACGUUGGGCGCUAGGUGUGGGGGGCCUCUCCGGUUCCCUGUGCCGCAGCUAACGCAUUAAGCGCCCCGCCUGGGGAGUACGGCCGCAAGGCUAAAACUCAAAUGAAUU